GACGAACGCUGGCGGCGUGCCUAAUACAUGCAUGUCGAGCGGAUUGAUGGGAGCUUGCUCCCUGAUAUCAGCGGCGGACGGGUGAGUAACACGUGGGCAACCUGCCUAUAAGACUGGGAUAACUUCGGGAAACCGGAGCUAAUACCGGAUAAUCCCUUUCCUCUCAUGAGGAAAGGCUGAAAGAUGGUUUACGCUAUCACUUAUAGAUGGGCCCGCGGCGCAUUAGCUAGUUGGUGAGGUAACGGCUCACCAAGGCAACGAUGCGUAGCCGACCGGAGAGGGUGAUCGGCCACACUGGGACUGAGACACGGCCCAGACGCCUACGGGAGUCAGCAGUAGGGAAUCUUCCGCAAUGGACGAAAGUCUGACGGAGCAACGCCGCGUGAGUGAUGAAGGUUUUCGGAUCGUAAAACUCUGUUGUUAGGGAAGAACAAGUACGAGAGUAACUGCUCGUACCUUGACGGUACCUAACCAGAAAGCCACGGCUAACUACGUGCCAGCCGCCGCCGUAA
Molecule: ribosomal RNA, 512 nt
Filed under: uncultured bacterium
Lineage: Bacteria
Description: partial 16S ribosomal RNA
Rfam family: Bacterial small subunit ribosomal RNA
Source: RNAcentral